UUGUCUAUAAAAUGCAUUACUGAACAUUUUGUGUGGUCAUGCCUUUGCUCCCUGUAUUGCAUUUCCACAGUAUGAUCAACUUUUUCUCCUUCCUGCCCUAGUACCAAUGACCCCAAUGGCUUAUAAGAAAUUCUCUUAUCCUUCCACAUCAUCUGCUUUCUCAUGCUUUACUCCAAAUAUCCCCCAGAAUAACUUCUCCUGUUACUUACCACUCUUCUCACAAGGUGGCAGUGAAAAGUGAAGUAGAUUUACAAUUACUUUGUCUCAAAGGCACUGCCUUUAAUGCCAAUCCUAAUCUAAUGGUUGGUAGCAAGCCUCUGAAAACCUUAUUUUCUUCUCCUUUUUCCUUAGAGUCUUUAAAAACAACCUCAAAGACUUCAUAGAGAAAUUUUUCCCCAGGACAUGCCCUGUGCAGAGCCUCACAUUUAAUGCCCACACUGACAGUACCGGCUACAGGCUUUUCAGAUCAUGGCCAAAGACUACUGAAGUCACUGAAAAACAGUGGCGUAUGAAGAACACUGUUACUUUCAAGAAAGUGGAAGACACAUUUUGUGGAAGCACAGACCAGGAUAUAGUCUGAGGAUUCUCGCUCUAUCACACCGAAGGCAUUCUGACAAUACAGCAGUACCCAGCCAAUUUGCUUCUUCCUUCUGGAGCCUUUGCAAACUUGAAUGUUUGCUUCAUAUGUUAUUGUUGAAGGAUCAGUACAUACAAAAAAGUUAAAUGCAUGUCCUCAAAACUACUGAGAAGGAAUUGAGGGCAGCCUAGAACAGGAUCUGCAGUUGAGAGCAGAGAUGUCUGACUCUAGAAACUUCUGGAGGCUCACCGUAGUCCACUGAGUGCUCUCCACCUCCUCAUCCAGGGACCCCAACGAGAGGGAUGAAAUAUGCACAUCUAUAAAAAGUCUACAUGCUUCCACUCAAGGAAAGCCAGGUAACUGGGCAGUGCAAAGUGUUGAUGCCUAAAUCCUUAGUUUAAUAGGGAGGGAAAUAUGAGUAUAGAAGCUGUCCCAGCACUGCAGGGAGCUGAAAAGCUUUGGUUUGUUAUAAGCUCUAAAGGUAACAUCUCAAUUUUACAAGUAAUGUUAAUCAGGAAGCUGUUAGGGGAAAGGGCUAAAUUGUUAUUAAAAAUCACAGAAGGAUAUGUAAUUAAAUUUGAAUGAAAAGACUUCUAACUAACCAGAGCUUUGAUCCAAGUCCUUACAAUGGUUACAAGUUGUGGCAAUUACUUCGCAUCUUCCCAAAAUAUAAAGGCACAGUGAAGACUUUUCUCUGACAUCACAGAGAAGAAUAAAUUAAACAAGAGACCAAGAUCAGUACAGGAUUUCAGUUGAAUUUGCAUUUAGGCUCCAAAAUCAAUCCUGAAAAUGUCUUUUGCAGCUGCUGCUGGACACUGAAGGUACUUAGGUAAGACAAACACUUUGACUUCUUUGGGCAAACUGAACUGCUGAACUGUUUAACUAACAACCACCAGAAGAUCUGUUUCUGGUUACUUGUGGUAUUGUCUUUGCUGAGAGGAUUGAGGGGUUGGGUGCCUGGAUCCCACGUCUCCUCCUGUUCUGCAGCUGUACAGAAAGAGCCCAACACCCUGGCCCAACAGGUCACCAGCCUCUGAGCUGCUGCCGGAGCACCACAUGUGUUGCACACAUCCAUAGGAUUGGCAUUCAGAUGUAAUUGAGUCAUAUCUCCACCUGGGGAGGCAAAGUUGACCUGACUGUAAGAGAAAGGUAUGACUUUCUGUCCUAAGAGUUUGAACAGUAAUUCAAGAACAAGGAGCCCCAAAACCAAGAUCCCACUCUCACAAUUUUACAUCUCUCAUCUGGUGGCUUUUUCAGUCACUGGCCAGUGGAAUAGUUUCAAUAAGAGCAGAGGAACAUAGCAUUCAUAUUUUGCUAAAGUCUGAUGAUAAAAGAGAUGGAAAAUAGUGGCAAGUUUCCCUUUAGUAAGUAGAUUAUAACUUCCCUGCAUAAUUUCUGAGUAUAUAUAAAGUGUUAGAGCAGAUCUCUCCUUUUUUUUUUUUUCUCUUUUUUUUAGACUUGGCAUUUAUGUUAGCAUGAGAAUUUUUCACUAAAGUACAGGAAAACAUCUUCGUUAUUGAACUUAAAUAAGUUUUAAUUUUGUAUUUUUUUUUUUUUUUUUUAGUUUUGCAUUUCUCUUGGCCUUUUUCAGUAUUUCUUUUGGACUUUCUCUUUUUUCAUUCAGCUUGUCUGAGAGAGGAGGAGCAAAAUUCAUAGUUUCCUGGGUUCUGCAAGGCAUAAUGAGAAGAGGCUUUAUGAAGCAUAUUGUUGUUUUGGCUCUCAAGGGAGGCAAGCAAAAUCUGUUAUCUGUAAAUUUCUCUCUAUAACAUAAGGAAAACUUAGUUUUUCAGAAGUAUGGUAUGUAGCUAAGUUUAAUAAAGCUAGUGAGGUAUUUAUAUAUAUAUGUCUGUGGUCUGAGAGAAAAUAAUUGUCAAAAGUAAUGUGAAUGGAAUGGAACAGAGAGGAAUGAGAGCAUGCAAUGAGUGAUAGAGCCACAGAGCAAUGUAAUUUAACAAAGCAGAUGAAGGAAUAGAGACCAACCUGCUCAGCUCAGGGAGCUGCUGGCAGCUUGCUUACCUCAUGCUGAAUGCUGCUCAUUGUUUAAUCAGUCAAGAUAUAACUCCUCUGACUGUGUUUGGGGAAUCGAGGGAAGAAAUACUGAAAACAUACUUUUCUGUAUUAGUUCCAAGGCUCAAUUCUGACACCUCUUUACUACUGUCAUAUGUGACUUUUAUGAGUCACCCCAACAAUAGAGCACAGUUAUUCAGGGUCAGAGUAUUCCUUGUCACACUUACAAAUUGAAAAGGAAGUGAAAAUAAGGAAUCAGUCAUAGGACUGGUCAAGCAGCAAUUUUCCAUCACCACACAGGCAAUGUAGGAGAAAUGGUCCCUCUGUUAGUUUGCCCCAGCAGGGCAUUUUAGAGUGUGAUCUGGGUGAUAACAUCAGUGUUAAGAAUAUGUUUGCACUGGCCAAGUCUUAUGUGCUGAGCAUGCUGCCAACACUGCUAGUUCACGUUAGGCUUCCACUUCCUCCUUUUCAAGUAUAAAACUGUGCUUUUUUUUUUUCCCAUCUCUGAAACCGUAUAUAAAUUUCACUGCCUCUGUGUUGUAGUCCAGUGGACAAAGUAUUGGAAGGGAUAUUAGAAAGCUCUCUAACAGCAACCCAGCAUGAGAGAGGCUCCCACUCACUGGGAGGAAAGACAGUGAUCCGUCAGUCAUGGGACAUAAAAGAAUGAAUGGAGAAUGGAAACUACAUUAUUUCAAGCUAAAAUUAAAGCUCUGGAUAACUUCGUUUCACCUCUGAUUAAUUUAAAACUUUGAUUAACCAGGUCUGGCUUUUCUUUAAUAGAGACCAGAAUUACAUUUUCUCUGUAACUUAUUUAUGCUUACAAAUAAGCUGGCAAGCCAAAUGAGUCAAUGUGGUCUCUUAAGUCCAGGUCUUUACAGGUCCUGGCAAAAGAAAUGUUUACGCAUAUUUCAGCCAACGUAUUCCCAUCGGAGAAAAUUCUGAUUACUUCACCUUUAUGUCCUCUCUGAUUCUACUGACUGCUUUGUCUCACAAAUGGAAGAGAUAUAUCUAAUUAAAUCAUAAAUAUCACCAUCCUGUGUCUUGGUGCUCUUCCUCUUCCUCCAAAAAGAAAAGACCAAAGGCUCUUUCGUUUAAAGGCUACAAAGAUUUUAGGUGAAAUCCCAGUGUUUUUGAAGACAAUGUCAAAACUCCCACGGAGUUCAAUCAGGUCAGGGCUUCACUGCUUGGUUUUGUAAAGCUGAUGAAUAAGAGAACGUGGGAUAUGGCUAUAUACAACAGUCACAACUCACAGAACAUGAAUCAUCCACUGUAAGACCUGGCUUUUAUAAUACAAGAAAAAGGUCAUCCUGGGAAAAUGAGAGUUGCAAAUCUAAAGCUGAAAAAGGGAAGUGGUUUUGUCCUGUGCAUAGUCCCUUUAGGAACACUGUAGCACAACUUUCUCAUUUCUGAGUGAAGUGCUUAGAGUCAACAUUAGCUGCUGAACAAAACUGGGCAUAAAGUGCACAGGGCAAUGUAGUAAAAAUUAGCAUUAUAAAUGUCUCUGUACCAAUAAAAAAAGAUAAAAACAAAACCAGAUGAGAUUUGGCAAAACACUUAGUUGCAAUCACACAUUUCUGAAAGCCAGGGAAGUGACAAUUAUUGCAAUACUUUCUCAUAAAGUAUUCCCAUUUGUCAUCUUAACUCUGUGUUACACUACACAGAAGAAAAUUUGUAAGUUCUGUUGAAAAUAAAUGUGAGAAGAGAUGAUUCUAUAAAAGGGUAUAACUCUGAUUAAUCUCGUGUUUCCCAGGAACAGGACCCUGGAGAAUGGCCUGAAGUUGUGUCAGAGGAGGUUAGGCACUGGAACAGGCUCCCCAGAGAAGUGGUCACAGCACCAAGCCUGCCAGAGUUCAAGAAGCAUUUGGACAAUACUCUCAGGCACAUGGUGUGACUUUUGGGGAUGGUCCUGUGCAGGGCUAUGGGUUGGACUCGAUGAUCCUUAUGGGUCCCCCUUCCACUCAGCAUAUUCUGUGAUUCUGUGCCCUGCCACUUACUGUCCCAUUUUGCAGAGUGAUGGGAGCUUAAAGAAAUGACAAAUUUACUUGAGGCAAGCAAAAAACCAAAACCUUAUUUACCAACUUAAAAGACAGUUGUAAAGAAUGAACAAAAUAGGAACAUGGGUGUGGAGUAGGUGAUCAGAGGUCCCUUCUGACCUGAAUUGACUUUUGAUCCUGUGGAAACACAAGAAUCUGCAAACUCAAAACGCACAAGAUCUCAACCUGCUCUUAUUGCAGGAAGGGAUUUCUCUGAUGCCUUUACUGGCUGCAAGGACCCAUCUCAAUCAUAGUGCUUCUUCCAUCCUAUUUGUAGAACAUCCUUACUAAUCUGCUAAUUAGAGACUGGAUAUAUGUACUGUUGCCUUCGUUUAGGUAUCUGGAACUUGUGAAAAUUUUAAUGGUUGCUCUUCAGUUUAUCUGAAAAUUAGUGAGAUUCUUGUCUCCUUAAUACUAAUUCCUCCACCCAUAUAAAUCUUUUUUCUCCUGGGAAAUCAACUGAGUUAAGCUACAAAUCCACAGUUGGAAUAUUUUGGAAAUUAUGUAUGUGAAAGGUAUGCUUUUUUCUUCACAGUGGUCUUUCUGUGUGCUGGCUUUUACAAAGACAGUAAUAGUACCUGAAUUCAUAUAUUUUAUUUUAAAUGCACCUUGCUACAAAAUAUUAUUGGUCUCCAGAUCAGUAAUAUACUAAUAAAUCCACCCUGUUAAAAACCGUAUCUUUGGGGUUAGGACAAAACAAAACAAAGUAACAACAAAAUUAAAAUAUUUUCAUUAAAAAUUUCACAUUUUUUUUAACCUUAAAGGUUCCAUCAUUUUUCAGAAAACAUCGAUGAGGCCACAUAAUAAUAUGUCAGUUACCAUUGUCAUUGAUUGUAUCUAGUGAGUAGCAGCUCACAAUUUUCUCUUUCCAUUCUUGCUGGAUUUGUUUUAUUCUGUCAGAGGAAGAAAAAAAGAUGAAGACCUUAUCUCUGUUUUACCUGCACUUAGAAACUAAGAUGUUUGUCCAAAUUGGACACUCUAAUAUUUGUUUGAAAAGAAGUACCAGUAUUGGGAUUUUACCAAAAGGCCUUGGACCAAAUCCUGCAGCACACUGAGUCUGUAAUAGCAGACUUAUUAUAUAACUGAUUCAGCUUUGAUUUAGUUCAGAGCAUCUGGCUUUUAAUUGCAUAGAAAUCCAUAAGCCAGGAGGGAAGGGAAAAGAAUCAUUGUGACUCAUCUAAAGAUUUAGAUAGCAGAGUCAUUUUUGGGGAUCUUUUCCACAUGAAAUUAACCUUUGCAAAUGGUAAUUGAUACAAUCCUCUUGCUAAAAUAAGGCACCUUCUUGUAACCUGGGGAGAACUUUUUCAAAUUAUAGACAACACCUCCACUGCAGAUAAAUUCAGUAAUUGAAGCUACUGACCAUAUUUAAGAAAGAAAAUCCAAAUGUAGAGCCUACCUAAAAGAGUAGAUAACAAAAAUGGUUCAUUUAGCUACAGUCUCAUUUUAGUACUUCUGCUUUAAGAAUUUUGAUGGAGAAUAUUCCUUUAGGAUGGCUCCUUCUGCAAUAGGAUUGAAAUUGUUUAUUUCAUAAAAUAAUAUUGACUGUUACCUUACUGUAUUACAGAUAGGAAAAUAGUUUCUGGUAAGGAUUGGGAAAUUUUGCUUUAAAUAUUUAUGGAUGAUUUAAGAGAAUUUGUAAAGGGGAGAAGUGUACUGAUCUUACCUGAAUCUAUAACAUCAAAAUAAGUUUUAAAAGCCAUUAUUUAAAAAAAUCCAUUAUUGAGAUUGUUCAGGAAUAGGCAAGCCAUUCAUAUAGAAAUUAAAAUCUGAUUAAUUUCCUCUUUUUCAGAGAACCAAAAAUCAGUUUGAGCAUGUUUUUCUAAAUAAGGUAUAGCAAGGAAACAUGAUUUAACACUUUAAGCUAUAAUUUUUAUUUUUUUUAAUUUGUUUUUAUUCUAGAAUAUUUUUGAGCUAUAAAAUAAUGUCAGCUGGGGCAUGUUUAUCACAAAUUUUACUUGUUAUCACUUAAGACAUGAUUAAAAUUUAUCAUUUUGACCUCUCAUACCCUUACAAAAAAAACCAAAACACCAAACCAAAACACAACCCCCCUGAAUAAGUCAUUGACAUCUCUAUAAGGAAAAAAAAAGUACUUUCAUAAUUUGGCAGACCCCUAUAACUUUAUCUCCUCACCAACACUUGAGCUAGAUAUCUUACAUAUUUCCAGUGUGGCCUUGUCUUGCUUCCUUGGGCCUAAAAUGAAUAGAAAACCGUGGACUUCAUGGAGCUAUGAAUAAAACCAUUAAUAGUAAUUUUAUCUAAUCACUUAAUCCUUUUUGUUUUGGUUUGGGUUUUUUUAAUACCUAUUCCUCUAUCUUCAUCUGCAAAGAAUGAAACUUUGCCUUCUAAGUGACUGCACUCUGAACUAAGACAAUACCUUUAAAAUGCUGUUCUGGUGGUUUUUGUUUGUUUGUUUGUUCUUUUAGAUGUUUUCACAGAAAAAAUCGACCCACAAUUUGGGAAAAUAUUAGAGGCUUGGUAUGUUUUCACAUAUAAUAUAUAAAUACAGACACAAUUGUCACUCACCGAGGAGGCUCAAAUAUCUUUGAAGCUUGGGCAGAGUGCUUGUUACCUUUUGGGUUUUUUCUAGGUUAAGAUGUUCACACAGUCCUUUUUUAAUGCCUAUGACAUGCUUGUAAUCAUACUAUAACCGAUGCCAAUAAAUAUGUACAGAAUCAGCUUUAUUUUCUUCUCUGGUAUAAUAAUUAGAUGAAUUUUUCAUGGAAGUUACUGGUUUUAUAUUUGAUAUAAAAAGUUAUUAAUAUCAAAGCCUUCAUAAGCUGGCUAAAUCCAUCUAAAAUUAUAAAUGCCAUCUUCAACCUUUAUCCAUGUUGAACAGUAGAACUGAAUUAAAUAUUGCUUCAGGAUCUGGAAAUAGCUAGAAGCUUCAUUUUUAGACUCCUUUUUUUCCUGUAUUUUUCUGACAGCUAGAAUUUUCAACCCAUAGUUUGUUCUUUCAACCCAUAGGAACCAGUUCAUGCCAGAAUUAAAGCUUGGUCUCUAAAUAACCUGUGCCAGAUAUUUGUAAAUUAUAUUACCCAUGAAAUCUGAGCAUAAAGUUCUGCAGCCUUCACAAGUACAUACAAAGUGUCCAAGAUUUGAACAGGUACUCAAAAUGUAAAUAUUAUUAUCAUCAAAAACAUGAAUUUUUAGGGUUGGCUACUAAUAAUCCAAAUUCUUUGUUUUCUUUUCUCUUCUCAUUUUGUUUAAGACUGUUUUAUUGCAUCUCUUUAAUUUAGUUAUAUGUGGAAAGCAAGUCCAGUCCUAUAAAAAUCCUUUCUUCCUGGAACUGGACUUCCAAGGCUCCCCACCCUUGUCAGUGAGUACAUUGAAGUAUAAUCUGGUAGAGAUUUAAGCAAGGCAAUGAGCAUGAGCAAAUUGCUUUUUUCUUAGGAUCUUCCAGUCAUCGCUGCCUUAACAGAAUGAAUAUGUUCUCUCUUUCCCUUACAGAUGCCCUUUUCCUCAGGUGCAUUGCAUUUUGGAUGUUUAGACAUUCAAAGGUCAAAUUGUGCCUUGACACACAGCUUGUACAGCCCUGACCUGUGAGAUUGUACAGUGUGACACAUUUACAACUGUUUGCCUCACUAGCUAAAGAAUGAUGACAAAAAGAGUUACUAUUUUAAGGCAAAAUCUUACAUUUUAGAAAAAAUCAUUACAAGUGCAGACAACUUGUGACUGGUAUUUGGUCACAUCAGAGAGCAUUCAGCUGAAAGGCGGCAGUGCUGACUGACACUGUGCCUCAGCCAAAGAGCACAGAACCACGGGAAUUAGAAAGAAAAUUAUACCACAGCACAAAAAUGCACCUUUCCAGCUGAAGAAGCAGCUGGGAGAUCAUAGUAAUCUAUGCUUUUAACUUCUGUUUGUUUUCAGUGGUGUGAAAUUUCCAUGGCAGACUGGUAAGCAUAAUGAAAAAUCGAAACACCAAACAGGGGAGUGAGCAGAAAAAAAAGGGCUGUGAGAGUCAGCUUUCCAUUUGGAACAAAGCUGGGCAUCGUCAGACAGCUGGCAGGAAUUAUUCAUGUUUGCCAGACCACCCAAUAGAUGAGCACAGCACAUGAAGAAGAGAUGAGAAGGCACAUACAGGAGCAUGAAUAAUGCUCUGGGCUCUGAUUGCAGGUUGCACUCCCUAAACAUGCUGCAGAGACAAAUGCCUGUGCUUUGCAAACAGGACACAUUUGCGACUUGUUGAUAAUAUUUAGGAUUGAAAUGUCUUUGUGUUCUUAUGCCUAACAGCAAGGGCUACCAAAUAAUAUAUAAUUGGGAAAAUUCUAUUGCUUUCUCUGAAAUAACUUACUCAUUUAUAAAAGCCUUUCUUACAAUUUCUAGGCAAAACAAAGCACUACCAUGUGCUGAAAGUCAUUCUUACAUGCGUUUUGCUCCUUAGCCAAGGGUGGUGUCUCAUUAAGAGUUACCAUUUAAACAUUUUAGUGUUAAUGUGCAACCAAGGAUGCUAUGAUGACAUUUUAAAUUUUCUUCACUGUUCUCAACAGUAUCCCUUUCUAUAUUUUUACUUCAAGUAUUUUUUACAGUUCAAGAUUUUGUUUGACUAAAGCUCAUUAAAAUUAAGACCACUUAUUUUACAUUUUUUACUAUAUGUCUAUAGAACACACUUUAAGCAUUGUAUCAUAAUGAUAAACUUGUAGUCCUGUUUUCUACCAAGUGUGUGUUUGCCACCAAGUAUCUUGGUAUUAGAACCCUUGCUUUGUACUCUCCUUGGUAACCCUAGAGAAGAGAAGAGAUAAGUCUCAAAAGAAUAAGCUAACAAUAAAUAAAUAACUCGAUUUUUCAGGAAAAGAGAUGCUACCUUAUAAGUCUAAUUUCAUACUGUAUGCCUUUUUUACGAAGAAAAAUGAUAUUCUGUGGCUAUAUAAGGUGUGCUUGGUGUUCAGGAUCGGUGAACAUGACAUGGUAUUAUUUGCUAAUCAUUCGGGUGCACAUCCUUGGGAUUUCUAUUUUUCUUUAUAAAUUAGUAAUGGACAGAAUAAAAAGAGGACGAAGUAGGGGCAGAGAAGAAAAUAAAAAUCAAGUAUAAAAAAAGGUGCUGUAGUUUCUGGAACAAUCCAAAAAUAGUAAGGCUUAUAAGGAAAGUGAGACUAUUAUUAUUUUUAUGAUUUGUUUCAUGUAUCAUACUUUUUAAAAAUUAAGAAAUAGCCUGGAGGUGAAAAAAGAAAAAGAUAAGAUAAAGAUGUAACAAAACCCAGGACAGGUUAUGGAAUGGUCUCAUACAAUAACUAUAUUUUGUUGGAGAUAAACAACAAUUAAUGCAUGAAAUUGAAAGCAGAAAAAACCAGUUGUGUCAGAUUCUUAAAUAGAGUGGGACCUGUCAAAUAUUUUUUGAUGAUUGGUGACCUGGAAGUCUUACAGCCUAUUUUAUCUGCAUUGGUUCAGACUCACAGUACUGGAAAGUCAAUAUCUGUGUCCUAAUGCAGCUUCUAUAUAUUACUCCCUUUGUGCUCCUGGAUCUACAAUAAGCCACUGCGUUUUACAGUAAUAUGUAAAAGAAAAUCCGGAUCCUUAAGUGUAUCUUAUUGCUCUAUAAUAUGUCAAACCAAAGCGGGUGUGUGAGUUGAUUUUUUUCAAAUAGUUUAUUUAUAAAACUUGGAAAACAUGGAACAACAAAGAGUAUAUUUUUUUUAGAGAGUUGAAAAGUAUGCAAAACCCAAAUUUGCACAGAAUUAACAUUCUGACAGUCAGGAAAUGAAAAGAUAAAUAAAUUUAAUGCAAGAAUAAAAAACAUAUACUUUUAAAAUGUCAUGAUACUAGGAAAAUACUGUAGGUCAUUCCAAAGACUAGGAUCCCACAUUCUUAAAAAUAAAUAGAUUAUUUAUUUGAGCUGUCAAUCUGACUGAUGAUCUGCACAAAACCUAGUAGUAAAAUUUUCGUUAAACCUUUUAUCAUCAAUUCAAUCAUUCUUCAGAAAGCUAUAUGGAUUUCAUUCUUCUUUCAUAAAUUAAAUUGUUCUUAGAGAAAUUCAUUGAGAUUAAAAGAUUUAUUGUUUUAUUUUAAAAAAUUAUGUUCUUAAGUGGGAUUAUCCUUUCAAAAUCACUGUAUUUAUUUUUAUUUCUGUUCUGUUAUUUUAUCUUUCUGUUUUUCAUGGCAGUACAGUUUAGUGCAUCAGUCAACAGUAAUUCACAAUAACAUAAAAAUAUUGUUGGACUUUAUCAUGUUUUAUAUUUAAAAGGACAACUGUUACUACUGACUGAAACAACUGAUCUUCUAGAAGAUAAUGUCUCCUGUAUUCUUGUAAUCAAAUGCUUUGGCUCUUCAAACACAAAAGAAGAUAAACUCAAAAUACACUAAUUACAUGACCAGCAACUUUCAAUACCUUUUGUUGGGAGGAUUUUUUUUUCUUAUUUUUAGAGUGAAAACAGUUUACCAUCUCUUUCAAUUCCUGAGUACUCAUGCUAUGUAGCAUUAAAUCCCCAAGUUACAAGUCUAGUCUCUCUUUCUGUCAAUGUAGUUUAUGGACAGAGAUGCGUAACUUCAGUCAGUAAGAGGAGAACCUUGAAACUCUAAAAGGUUUCUAGCUCACUACUCACUGAAAAAAGAUUUUGGGACAAACAGGCCGUCAAUUUAGGGACCUAAACUGAAAUGUUUAAUGUAAGCAGAGUAAAUACUAUCUUCAGCCUGUAUUGACAAGUACCUAACAAAAAUAUUUUAAAAAAUAAAUAAAAAAAUAUAUUACGCCAUAGUAUGUAUUGAAUAUAUAAUGAUAAAUUGAUCUAUACUACUUCUAGUAUAAUGUGUCACAAUUUCAUGACAUUUAAUGUGAUAGAUAUCACAUUAUACAGCAUUAACACACGCCAUGAAAUAUUGCAGUAAUAAUUCAUAUAAAGAUGAGAAAUUCAAUUCAAAACCUGUAUAUUCUUCUGAUGCAGAAUUUUUUUUUCCCCCUGAAAUAAGUAUCUUCGGUACUACUUCUUUUUGAGAAGCUUUUUUGGUGGGUUACCCAUGGCCGAUAGCCAAACAUACACCCAGCUGCUCUCUCUCACUCCCCCUCCUCAGCAGCACAGGGAUGAAAUAGGAUAAGAAAUCCCAUGGGCCAAGAUGAGGACAGAGAGACUGCUCACCUGUUAUUGUCACUGGUGGAACAGAUUCCACUUUGUGAACACUGAUGUAUUGCCAGUUUAAAUAGAUUCAGGUAGUAAGAAAGAAGGCAAGCAUUAAAACACCUUUCCCCUCAGCCAUGUCCUGCAGGGGGUGGGUGGGAGCCAGCUGGAACUAGCUAUGUCUGGCAUGGGGCAGCCCUGACCUCUCCUCACAGAGCCCCCCUGCAGCCCUGCUGCUGUUGGCACUGGGGCACCUGCACCUAGCACAUCUUUAAAGCAAUAAAACCAGAUUUUGUAUAUUUAAUAGUGCUAGAAGAGUGAAAAAUGUGAACAAGAUUUCAAACUUUUCCCUAUCUUAGAAUCAUGAAAUAGUUUGGACUGGAAGGGAUCUUUAAAGAUUAUCUGAUACAAUCCCCCUGCCACAGGCAGGGACACCUUGCACUAGGCCAGGUUGUUCUGAGCAAUGAUAUUAAAAAGGACACAUUGUCCAGUCAUGUCAAUCAUUGACAGCCCAAGCAGGACUCAAAAUAAAAUAUUCCUCUUUGCCAUAACAUCAGUUACGUUCUAGGAGAUGUUUUAAAGGGACAAUGCAGUGGAGUCCCAGAGUAGACUAGUUUCUUGUUGCUGUUUAAGAGCAGCACAAUUAAACACUUGGUAAUACUGGUAAAAAAAAAUAUAACCACAGAUUCAAAUUGGCUGGUACAGUUAUUUUACACCCCUUCAGCACCACAAAUCUCUGAUUUUAAGCUGUGUUAUGGCUUUCGAUGUUUCACAGGAACAAUACACAUUCAGAUGCACUGCUAGACACAGUAGACACAGUAGACCAUUGAGAAUGCUUUGUCUGGCAAAGGCCCCCUAUCGUCUUUCAGAGUAGAAAUAGCUAUCAAUGUAUCUGUUUCAAUAAGCAUUAAUUCAAAGUUUAAAAUUUUUAUAUACUUUUGAGUGAGUGGUUCUGCUCCUCCAGUUUGGAUGUGACAAUAUAAACAGUGUGAGUUGUCAGAGAGAGGAUGUCAAAUGAACUCACACCUUAGUUAUUAUGCUCUAGUGUCAUGAACACAGUCUUUACACUGCUUUUUAAUUUUCACCUGUACCCAGGAGAUUUCCCUGAUAGCUGUUACUCAGUAAAUGUGUUCCUGAAUUAUGGUGGUUUAUGUGAAAAUAUGUGAGCAUUUAAAAAAAAAAAAAAAAGAAAAGUGGAAGUGUUUAAUUCUUCUAAAUGUAACACCAGGUUUGGAGGCUUUUUUGACAGGCAUCUGUAUUUUUUUGUCAGGAAACAAUAAAAUCUUUCUAGUUAUUUAGCAGAGCUAUCAAUGACUUCACAGGUGUGUGCUUUUCACAUUUUCUGAAUAAUGAAAGUUAGUUUAUUGCCUUUGCAACAUAUUGUUCUUUAUACCACAACACUGAUCUGUAUUGAUUUGUAAUUUAAGAAAAGAAUUAUUCCUUGUCAAGGGCCUCAAAUACAUGCUUUGUAAAGCGCAAUAUGAGGAGGUAUCUGUUUUUAACAUUUGAAAAAAAGAAAACUUGCAUUACAUUAUUAUUAAAUUAAAUGGUUGCUGUUGUGUAGGAAAGCAAUCUUUGCUGAUACUGAGAGGGAUUAGAUGUUUUCAAACAUGUUUCAUGUCAUCAUAGCCUUGCAGGGUGAUCUUGGCCAUAUCUUUUAAUUUUUCUGUAUCCUUAGCAUGUUCAUUUGUAAACCACUGUGCUUUGUAUGCCUUGAUAACUCUGAAAAUGAUCACCACAUAAAUUCUGGGUGUUUUUAAGGGUACACUGGCAAGUCCAUUGGCAUAAAUAUUUCUCAGGAGUCAUAUUCACUAAUACUUUCUUCCAUAUAUAAUAUCUAGCUGAGGAUACAGUGAUUGCUGGCUCAUGUACAUUUUCUGCAAUGAUAACUGGUUACAUUUUCAAUCAUAUUUGAGUCUUUUCUGGGCAGCAAAACUGAUGGUUAAAGUCAGGCUGUGCAUAAUAUGUCUCAAUCACAAUUUGAGCAGGUGAUCGUGGUUUAUAGGAGAGGUGCAAGAUGAACUCAGAAAAUGCAAAGCAAUUACUAUAGCCCAACAAAACACUGGAAAAACACCAUAGACAUAGCUGUUAGAUUGCAGUAGAAAGGGCCAAGAAGGUAAGGCAGGGUUCAGAAACAAAUAAAAUGCAGGAAUCAGUACUUGUAUAAUGUCUUAAUUAAUGGCUAGAUUAAUGGAACAGUUGCCCUCUUGGCAAGUUUGUGGAUAACACUGAGUUAGAGGGAAUGGUCAAUAAGUGGAGGCUGGAGAAAUGGGCUGACAGGAACGCAUGACCUGCAGUUAGGAAUUUCCCCUCACAGCACGGCAGGCUGGGAACCAGCUCUGUGAGGAAGAGCCAGGGGUCCUGGUGGGUUGCAAUGAGAGGAAGAGCCAUCAGUGAGUCCUGGCAGCAGAAAUGUCCAACAGCGUUGGGGGCUGAACCAGCAAGUCCAGAGGAGGAUCCUUUCCCUCUUCUUAGCACUAAUACCCUAUUAGGAUUCCUGUCAUGAUUUCUCAGUAAUCCUUAGCACUCUGGAUUUGCAGUACAAAUGAAAAAAAGUCCCAUUCUUUAGUAGAUUUUUCCCAUUUAUUGAAAUGUUAAAAUUUUGCUUUCUUUAUAAAUCCUUGUCCCAAAUUAUGCUACAUUAACUGAGUUUUGAUUUAGGUUUUUUUAGCCCCUUUAUCAUUGCUAAAACAACCUUGUCACUCUAUGUUUAGUUCUGUUAUGCAGUCUGACAAGUAUCAAGAGCUCUUUUUUCCAAGUGUUUUGAUUAUUCGUAGUCAUUUACUUGCCUAGUGUUUCCCAGUUUUACCUCUUACAACCUCUCCUAUAAAACACCCACCACCUGCUCAGAUGGAAAGUGAUCUCUGACCAAUGACCAAAUUUGGGCUCAGUCUGACUGUAGCUCAAGCAACAGGUUCAGGAUCAAGUCUGACAUGUGUAAGCAUAUACAUGAACUUCCCUAGCUAUAUAUUCCUUUAAAAAGUAACAGAUUAUACUGCUGGUUAAAACGAAAAACAAAAAUCUAGGAAUUCGGAUGAGGUUUGAAUAUCUUCAGCUCUCCUUCCUUUCAGUUACUAACAGUGUCUGAGAUGGCUUAGGUGUAGCUGUCUUGCACUGCAGUUCACUCCUUUAAAGCACAAAACAAAUAAUCCCCCAUCCCUGGGGGGAAAGGAAAAGAAGCUGGCAACAGUCCAGGAUUUCCCAAUGGCUGUUUAAAAAUCUAACCAUUCCAAAGUAAUUCAUUUUAAUAUCAUUCAUGUUAGGUUUCCAUAAUUUUGACUGGAAAUUACUCCUGUCAGAAAUUCUCAUGAUUAAAGAAUGCAAUAUAAAUAAACUGGUACCUAACUGUAUAGCAUUGCUAUACCCAAAGACACAUUCUAGUCAUAAAAACUGUCCUAAAUACUUUUGUAAGAUUUGAUUGCUUUCUUGUUCUGAAAAGUGCGUGUACUGUAGAAAUUACCUUAACAGCAUAGUGGAACAAGUAAUCAUGCAGUAAGAGCUGCUACAAUUGUGGGAGUAUUUUUAAAAAUAUCACACACACUGGAUUAAAACCAUACCUUCAUACUAUUCUGUAGAAAUGUCAAGUAGUAUUACUUGUUGAGGUUAUUUUGCUGAUGGGAGUCUCUAAGCACUAAUGAAAUAUUAGCAAUUGAGUAUACUGUAUACUUUUUAAUGCCUCUGUUUCAAAAAUAAUUGAUUACAUUUUUAACUUCGAAGUCCCUCUUCCUUUUCCACAGAACUUACCAAAGCUCAAGUGGUUGUCUUUUUAACUAUCAAGCGUCCUCCACUUUGUCUGCAGAUGCUCCACUUAUAAAAGCUGCGCAAAGUAGAGGUGCAUAGUGGCUUAUUUCAGUUCGUCUUGUAUUUUUUUCCCUUCACUGCUGUCCAGUUUUGCCUGAUUGUGCAUGUCUCAUAUUUUAGAUGACUCCUCAACACCUGAGAUGGAGCAGAUGCUCUUUCCAGGACUCUGUGCAGAUCUUUUUGUGGGGAUAAAGCCUGCAAUGAAAACCCUUCAGGAAAAGAGCUCCUCUCAGACUAUCAGACAGACAGGGUGCAGCAAAGAUUUUGAAGAUGAUACAAGGCACCAUUCAGUGGUAAUAUAAGUUUUUGGCAGGACUGACGUGUGUAUUAAAGAAGGAAAGUAUAUGUAUAUAUUUAUAUCUAUGUCUGUAUAUCUACCUCUAUACUCCUCUAUCCUCUCUCUAUGUAUAUAUCAAAAAUGUAACUAUAAUAGCUCCAUUUUUCUUCUAUGCUCAGUGUUGUGAGCAGUGUGGAAAAAAUUGUACUGAACUACUGAACACUAGUAUUGCUUUUGCAGCAGGGUAUAUUGCAAAAAAGAAUUCCACAGAAUAAUAUAUUUCUGUUGUUGUGUUUUCACCCCAGCCAGCAACCAAGUACCACACAGCAGCUUGCUUACUCCCCCAAAGGCAGGAUUGGAGAGAGAAUUGGAAGGGUAAAAGCUAGAAAACUCCUGGGCUGAGAUAAAAACAGUUUAAUAGGGAAAGAAAACCCAUGCACAUAAGCAAAGCAAAACAAGGAAUUCAUUCACUAUUUCCCAUGUGCAGGCAGGUGUUCAGCCAUUUCCAGGACAGCAGGGCCCCAUCGCAUGUGAUGGUUACCUGAGGGACAAACACCAUCACUCAAAUGUGCCCUCCUUCCCCCUUCUUCCCCGCACCUUAUAUACUGAGCAUGUUGUCACAUGGUAUGGAAUAUCCCUUUGGUCGGUUGGGGUUGCCUGUUCCAGCUGUAUCUCCUCCCAGCCUUCCAUGCACCCCCAAAUCCCCCAAAUUCCUUGCCAAUGUGGAAGUAUGAAAAGCAGAAAAGGCCUUGGCCCUGUGUAAGUGCUGCUCAGCAAUAACAAAAAUAUCUCUAUAUUAUCAACCAGCCCUGUGUUCAGCAACAGGUUUUGGAGGAAUUAUUAUGAUUACAUGGACUGCAUUUUUCUGUAGAACCUUAUAUGUUGAAGAAUUCUUAGUGCAUAAAGAGUUAAAUGAGCUAUACAAAUGUAUAAAUGCCAAAGAUAUCAGGAAACUGGGAUUAAAUGACUAAAAAUACAAGCACUCAUAUUGCCAUUUCUACUCUAGAUAUUGCAUGAACUCCAAUGACCAAUACUGGCAUUGGCUACUAGUGUCUGUUUUUGAACUGUUUCCUGCUUCUCUUCAGUGAGAUUUUCAUAGAAUCAUAGAAUCAUAGAAUCGAUUGGGUUGGAAAAGACCUCCGAGAUCAUCGAGUCCAACCCUUGGUCCAAAUCCAGUCCAUUUACUAGAUCAUGGCACUCAGUGCCACGUCCAAUCUGCGUUUAAAAAUCUCCAGGGAUGGUGAAUCCACCACCUCUCUGGGCAGCCCAUUCCAAUGCCUGAUCACUCUCUCUGUAAAGAAUUUUCUCCUGAUAUCCAACUUAAAUUUCCCCUGGCGGAGCUUAAGCCCGUGCCCCCUUGUCCUAUUGCUGAGUGCCUGAGAGAAGAGACCAACCCCCACCUGGCUAGAACUUCCCUUCAGGUAGUUAUAGACGGUGAUGAGGUCACCUCUGAGCCUCCUCUUCUCCAGGCUAAACAACCCCAGCUCCCUCAGCCUCUCCCCAUAGGACUUAUGCUCCAGUCCCUUCACCAGCCUUGUUGCUCUUCUCUGGACCCGCUCCAGCACCUCAAUAUCCUUUCUGAACUGAGGGGCCCAGAACUGAACACAAUACUCAAGGUGUGGCCUCACCAACGCAGAGUACAGG
Pseudopipra pipra is the source of this 17385-nucleotide long non-coding RNA. RefSeq lists it as uncharacterized. The record is from RefSeq and is a predicted model, not a curated record. The transcript has 3 exons. Lineage: Eukaryota; Metazoa; Chordata; Aves; Passeriformes; Pipridae.